UCUGUGUGUAUCAAUCUAUAAUCAAUAUUUCUAUGUGUGUAUCAAUCUACAAUAAACUCUUCCAUGUGUGUAUCAAUCUAUAAUCAAUAUUUCUCUGUGUGUAUCAAUCUACCAUAAACACUUCUAGGUGUGUAUCAAUCUAUAAUCAAUAUUUCUAUUUCUAUACCAAUCUACCAUAAACACCUCUCUGUGUGUAUCAAUCUAUAAUCAAUAUUUCUCUUUGGGUUUUAGACUACAAUAAACAUGUUGUACUCACCCCUAAUCAUAUUUCUAUUUGUGUAUGAAUCUAUAAUAAACACUUUGUGUGUAUCAAUCUAUAAUCAAUAUUUCUAUUUGUGUAUCAAUCUAUAAUAAACACUUUGUGUGUAUCAAUCUAUAAUCAAUAUUUCUCUUUGUGUUUCAAACUAUAAUAAACAUAUUGCACUCACCUCUAUUCAUAUUUCUAUAUGUGUAUCAAUUUAUAAUCAAUAUUUUAUUUGGGUAUCAAUCUAUAAUAAACACUUGGGUGUGUAUCAGUCUAUAAUCAAUAUUUCUAUGUGUGUAUCAAUCUCUAAUCAAUAUUUCUAUUUCUGUAUCAAUCUAUAAUCAAUAUUUCUAUUUAUGUUUCAAACUAUAAUAAACAUAUUGUACUCACCUCUAUUCAUAUUUCUCUGUGUGCAUCAAUCUCUAAUCAAUAUUUCUAUUUCUGUAUCAAUCUCUAAUCAAUAUUUCUAUUUCUGUAUCAAUCUCUAAUCAAUAUUUCUCUUUGUGUAUCAAUGCAAAGAAAUGGCCACAAAUCAAUUUGAUGGACACAAAUCAGGUUCCUCCUCUCUGCUCCCAGGGAUGAACCCGUGGGGUUCCUGCUCUGCAGGGUUUGGGGGGAUGAACCCCAAAUGUCAGCCAGAGCCUGCACUCUGUGCUGGGGGUUAUGGGAUGAACCCCAAAUGUCAGCCAGAGCCUGCACUCUGUGCUGGGGUUUAUGGGAUGAACCCCAAAUGUCAGCCAGAGCCUGCACUCUGUGCUGGGGUUUAUGGGAUGAACCCCAAAUGUCAGCCAGAGCCUGCACUCUGUGCUGGGGUUUUGGGGUUCCUGCUCUGCAGGGUUUGGGGG
This is a long non-coding RNA of Serinus canaria (Common canary), 1089 nucleotides long. RefSeq lists it as uncharacterized. Lineage: Eukaryota; Metazoa; Chordata; Aves; Passeriformes; Fringillidae. The record is from RefSeq and is a predicted model, not a curated record. The transcript has 3 exons.